This 406-nucleotide ribosomal RNA is filed under the name uncultured bacterium. RNAcentral's name for it is "partial 16S ribosomal RNA". It matches the Rfam family "Bacterial small subunit ribosomal RNA", at positions 30 to 526 of the family's 1533-position model. The record is from RNAcentral.
AUUGAACGCUGGCGGCAGGCCUAACACAUGCAAGUCGAGCGAGCGGCGGACGGGUGAGUAAUGUUUGGGAAACUGCCUGAUGGCGGGGGAUAACUACGGGAAACGGUAGCUAAAACCGUAUACCAUCAGAUGUGCCCAGAUGGGAUUAGCUAGUGGGUGGGGUAACGGCUCACCUAGGCGACGAUCCCUAGCUGGUCUGAGAGGAUGACCAGCCACACUGGAACUGAGACACGGCCCAGACUCCUACGGGAGGCAGCAGUAGGGAAUAUUGCGCAAUGGGCGAAAGCCUGAUGCAGCCAUGCCGCGUGUGUGAAGAAGGCCUUCGGGUUGUAAAGCACUUUCAGCGGGGAGGCGUUACCCGCAGAAGAAGCACCGGCUAACUCCGUGCCAGCAGCCGCGGUAAUUC